RNAcentral lists this ribosomal RNA (465 nucleotides) under Vreelandella stevensii. RNAcentral describes it as "partial 16S ribosomal RNA". It matches the Rfam family "Bacterial small subunit ribosomal RNA", at positions 338 to 795 of the family's 1533-position model. Lineage: Bacteria; Pseudomonadati; Pseudomonadota; Gammaproteobacteria; Oceanospirillales; Halomonadaceae. The record is from RNAcentral.
CCUACGGGUUGUUUUCGUGGGGAAUAUUGGACAAUGGGGGGAACCCUGAUCCAGCCAUGCCGCGUGUGUGAAGAAGGCCCUCGGGUUGUAAAGAACUUUCAGUGAGGAAGAACGCCUGGUGGUUAAUACCCAUCAGGAAAGACAUCACUCACAGAAGAAGCACCGGCUAACUCCGUGCCAGCAGCCGCGGUAAUACGGAGGGUGCGAGCGUUAAUCGGAAUUACUGGGCGUAAAGCGCGCGUAGGUGGCUUGAUAAGCCGGUUGUGAAAGCCCCGGGCUCAACCUGGGAACGGCAUCCGGCGCGCGCAGGGGAGAGCGCAGGAGAGGAAGGGAGAGUACCCGGGCGAGGGCGGAAGUGGGGAGCGGUCGAGAGGAGUAGGAGUGGUGGUGGCGGUCUCCAGGAGUACCACUGACACUGGGGUGCUAAUGUUUGGGUAGCCACCGGGAUUGACUAACCUAGGAGUG